CAGUAGCCGCGGUAAUACGGAGGGUGCAAGCGUUAAUCGGAAUUACUGGGCGUAAAGCGUGCGUAGGCGGUUCGUUAAGUCUGUUGUGAAAGCCCCGGGCUCAACCUGGGAAUGGCAAUGGAUACUGGCGAGCUAGAGUGUGUCAGAGGAUGGUGGAAUUCCCGGUGUAGCGGUGAAAUGCGUAGAGAUCGGGAGGAACAUCAGCGGCGAAGGCGGCCAUCUGGGACAACACUGACGCUGAGGCACGAAAGCGUGGGGAGCAAACAGGAUUAGAUACCCCCGUAGUCCCUGUCUCUUAUAC
Molecule: ribosomal RNA, 301 nt
Filed under: uncultured bacterium
Lineage: Bacteria
Description: partial 16S ribosomal RNA
Rfam family: Bacterial small subunit ribosomal RNA
Source: RNAcentral